CGCAUCGGCUCCGGCUGGAACGUAAGUAUGUCCCGUCCCGCUCCGGCUGGUGAAGUGACAGCUGCCGAGCGGAGCCGGUGCGUAAAACCUCCCUGCCUGCGCUCCGGCGCUUUGGUGGUGUUCAGCGUGGAACGGCAACGUCAAACUGUCCUGUCCGUUUGGAAUCGAGUCCUGGUAGUAAAACCUCGUGUCUUGGAUGCCCAUUUUGAAGUCCGCAAGGUGAACUCACAAGGUCAGCAGCUGAACUCAUUGGUGUUGACACCCCGGAUGAUAGCGUAUUGUCCCCAGUGACAUGUCCACAAGGCCGAGCGGUUAUACUCUCCACCUGCCCUGUGGGGGAUGACAGGUACCUUUUAGGCCUUAGUUAAGCUGAUCUCCCACAGGCGAUGUUCACCACGACUGGAAGACAAAUGAUCCUCAUGGGAAAUCCGACGGAGGUGUGUUUUGCAGCACCUCAGAUGUACAGCACACCUGAAGAAGGCGCUGGCAGGGAGUCUGCGUCCUUCUGCUUAACACGCGGCAGCUGUGCUGAGGGAAGGUGAGGAAAGACUGUGCUAAUUUGAGGGCUGUUAGUUUGCUUGAGCGCAGACUGCUAGCUCCAUGCAUGUUCACAGACAGUGCUGACAAGUGCAUGAGUGAAUCUGAUGUCUUACUUAUGAUGAGCAUGAUCUUUCUAUACCACAAUACCAG
Molecule: long non-coding RNA, 690 nt
Organism: Carassius auratus (goldfish)
Lineage: Eukaryota; Metazoa; Chordata; Actinopteri; Cypriniformes; Cyprinidae
Exons: 3
Source: RefSeq, a predicted model, not a curated record